Danio aesculapii is the source of this 1212-nucleotide non-coding RNA. NCBI's taxonomy places the organism in Eukaryota, Metazoa, Chordata, Actinopteri, Cypriniformes, Danionidae. The record is from the annotation of a RefSeq genome assembly.
GAACAGUACAGUAUCAUCAAAUGUAACUGAAUGAGCAAUGUUUAUAAACUUGUGCAGUGUUUUACUCUUUAUAAUCCAUGGGGUGGAAGGUUUGAGUUUAACUCAAUCUCAGAAGGUGUUUGUGAAGCUGAAAGGUAAAACUGUGUCGUUCAAAUGUGAAGUAUCCGGGUUAGGCUCUAGCAAUUUUGUCCACUGGUACCAUAAAAAAGAUGGUGAAACGUUUAAAAGACUACUAUACAUUAGUUACGCUGGGACAGCUACAGGUGAAGCAACAGACUUUGUUUCUGAAAAGAAUGGAGAUUCCUAUGGCAUAAAGCUGAAAGAAAUAAAGGAGGAACACGCUGGCAUGUAUUACUGUGCAGCCUGGGAUGGCAGCCACAUGGGCUGGAUCAAAAGAUUUGGAUCUGGAACGCGGCUGAUAGUAACUGAACCUGGGAAGGACAAUGUCGUGACACCAAAGCUUACAGGAUAUCUGAAUAAGGCAAAUGAGAAGCCGGCGGCAUUGUGCCAGGCCAAAGACAUGUUUCCUGACCUGGUGUCAUUCAAAUGGGAAAAGAAAAGCAGUAGUGGAGGCUGGACCGCAGUAUCAAAUGACCAGGUUGUGGAACAGAGCAACAAUGAAGACCCUGUUACAAGUAUGGUGAUAUUAAACACACCCGAAGACAACAUCUACAGAUGCACUGUAACUCAUGAAGGAAGCUCCAAAAACCCACUACAAAUUGAAAUUGGAAAAAAAGAUGAAAAGCUGCCUGGAAUUAAACCCAGUGGUGCUCCUGACCCAACAUGUCCACCGAGCACUGACAAGACCCCGAUAUCACAAGAAUCAGACAACCCGGAAAAGAAACAGAGUCUGCAGCUGUUUGUGUAUGGCUACGCUGUCAUGCUCAUGAAGAACGUGCUGUAUUUUAUAGUAGUCUUCAUCGUUCUAUUGAAGAGAAAAGCUGGAAAGAAGGAGGAGCGCCCUUAAAAACUUUAGUUCAGUUCGUUUACUGAAUGCUUUAGAUAAACAUCAAGCAAAUGAAUGAAUGAAUUUAUCAGAUAAAGUAUGUUCAGCUGAUUUUUAAAGAAUAUACGCAGCUCUGUUGCCUCUGCUUAUACAUGAAUUGCUUUCGAUGCAGAUCUGCUCUGUGCAACUUUAUUUUUGCAUCUACUGAAAUGGAGAGAUUUGGUUUUAAAAGUACACCAUGUACCUAAUUUUACAAAGUUUUUUCC